RNAcentral lists this ribosomal RNA (556 nucleotides) under uncultured bacterium. RNAcentral's name for it is "partial 16S ribosomal RNA". It matches the Rfam family "Bacterial small subunit ribosomal RNA", at positions 355 to 932 of the family's 1533-position model. The record is from RNAcentral.
UGGGGAAUAUUGCACAAUGGGCGAAGCCUGAUGCAGCAACGCCGCGUGAGUGAUGAAGGCCUUCGGGUUUGUAAAGCUCUGUCUUUUGGGACGAUAAUGACGGUACCAAAGGAGGAAGCCACGGCUAACUACGUGCCAGCAGCCGCGGUAAUACGUAGGUGGCAAGCGUUGUCCGGAUUUACUGGGCGUAAAGGAUGCGUAGGCGGAUUUUUAAGUGAGAUGUGAAAUACCCGGGCUUAACUUGGGUGCUGCAUUUCAAACUGGGAAUCUAGAGUGCGGGAGAGGAGAAUGGAAUUCCUAGUGUAGCGGUGAAAGUGCGUAGAGAUUAGGAAGAACACCAGUGGCGAAGGCGAUUCUCUGGACCGUAACUGACGCUGAGGCAUGAAAGCGUGGGUAGCAAACAGGAUUAGAUACCCUGGUAGUCCACGCCGUAAACGAUGAGUACUAGGUGUAGGAGGUAUCGACCCCUUCUGUGCCGCAGUUAACACAAUAAGUACUCCGCCUGGGAAGUACGAUCGCAAGAUUAAACUCGAAUGAAUUGACGGGGUCAUAGCUG